CGUGCAUGGUGCUCACUAUCGAGACAGCUAAGUCAACAUGAGAAAGACUGACAUAAAUCAUUGAAAAACGCACAUAUCGAACCUCAGCAGUGUGAGGAAAAUGUCGAAAUUGAAGCUGAAACAGACACUACAGGAUGAAUUCGACCGAUUGUAUGAAGAUUUCAUAACAAAUCCAGCUAAACGCCCAAGAUUAAAGAAACGUGUAAAAUUAUGUAGACAGCCUGCAAGUACACAAGUGGAGCACAAGGCAUUGAUUUGUGAUAGUGUUUGUUCAUCUACAUCAUCAAUGGGACAUUCAGAAUCAUUAUUGACAAGGGUGAACAACAACUCUGACGAGGAGCUAAGAACUUCAGGUUUAAAAAAAGAGUGUCGAUUACAGCAAGCAAGUGCUGAUAAUUUAGCAUCUCAUCCAGGGAGACUUAAUGAUAAUGAGCAUUCUGCAUUCAGUGACUACCCUGCAUCAUCACAAUUAGAUAAGAAACUUAGCAGUGAGGAGGUUAUCAACAUUAAAGAGGCAACUUCCAACAGAGAAAAGGAUGAGUUGCUCCAAGGAGAUCAAGCUAUUGAAAGUGAUGCCUUUCUGUUUCACAAACCUAGAACUAACAGACCAAGCGGCUUUUUCCAAGGUUCCAAGUGAGCUAUUGCAAUAAAACUUUCAGAGACAAAAGAAUGCGUCAUAAAUACGUUAAAAAAAGUCUAAGCUUGGAUGAAAUAUGGGCUGUGCGUGCAAAGACGUGGCUGGUGCCAGACAAGUCUGUGCAAAGUCACCAGCGACCAUCUGUCUUCUUAAACAGAAACCUGAGUCGUGGUUGUAAUAAAUCUGCAUCCAAAGUUUCUCGGCCACAAUUACCUAAACAGCAAGUAACUAAAUCUAUUGUAGCAGUAAGUGACAUUAGAAUGGGUUCAAGAUUGCACUCAUCUGGCAAGCAAAUAUGGAAACAAGAGGCCACCGUUUCAAAACAUGAUGAUAUUUUUGGAACAAGAACCAGUGGUAAACGAUCUACACUAGAUACCAAUAGAGACACUAGAAAAGACCCAAAAUCUAAUACAGACAAAGUGAGAGUUCCAAAGAUGACAGAACAAGUAGAUGGAAAUGCAAAUUUGAAGUCAACUGAAUUUGAGAAUGUGGACUACCAUCCAGGAAUACAGCCAUUGUUCAACGGGCAAAGUGGCCAUUGUGGAGGCAUAUGGAAGUCAAUUGUUGAUGAAUGCUGAAAGUUAGUUUAUAGUACAAAAGAAAUAAAAAUAACUUUCUUGUUCUGAAAUUUUAUACAAAUUAUUUAAUUAAAAUGUACUUAAUUAAAAUGUACUUUGGAUUAGUAUUUGACCAUAUAAUGGAAAUGUCAAAUGUUUUCACAGUGGCAGUAAAAAUAACUCCGAACAAGAAAUACAAAUUGAUGCUCCUCGAGCAAUUCUGUAGCUUGAAUUUUGGUUUAUUUUAGGGCAAGUAAGAUCAUUAUGAUCCUCCUUUUUUGAACUACAACUAUACAGAACGUGGAAAGGCACAGUGGAAGUAAAAGAAUACACUUUGAUAAUCCGUUUGCACAGUUUAAUUGUCUCUUCAAGUGAAUUAGCAAUCCCUUCGAACAAACUAGUAAUUCGCUCAAAUGAUUUGGCAACCUGUUCAAAAUAAUUGGUAAUUACACAUUGGCAAUCUGUUCGAAAGAAUUAGUCAUUUGUUCACACUUUACUAGUCUCUUGAAUUUCUUUACUAAUUCCGAUCGGGCAUGCAACAUUUUAGCUCAUCAGCUAAUUCUUUUCAAAGCAGUGCCAUAGAAAACUGAAAAACACAAAAAUUAAGUGUGAUCAGCCAUUUCCCCUUUUUUUAGCAAUUAGAAAGUUGCAUUUCUGUGGGGGGGGGGGGGGGAGAUCGGGGAGAUGUCUUGAAUUUGAUUUCUCAACAUGGGUUUCAAGGUAUCUAAAAUUAAAUAUUAACAUCUCUACUUGGUCAAAGUGGUUCUUAGAUAUUCUUUAUAACAAAUGAUCUAAUUUUUGUACAAGAUACAUGAUCAAAAUGUGUUCACAUCCACUUAACAAUACUUAUUCAUAUUGACUUAAUUAAAAAUGUUACAGCAUCGCAACAAUAUAGAAUUAGAAGAUAAAGUCUUGUUCUUGGCCACUUGGACGAUGAUGUCUCAAGUACUCUUACAAUGGUGGUAUUGUGGCCAAGUGGUACACGGCAGAAAAUGCCUUUUCCACCAAAAAUAACAACUAUUGAAAGAAAUUGAAAAAAAUAUUCAAGUGCUAUGAAAUAAUAAUAGGCCUUUUAAAAUAAUUUCAAGUUAUCUCUAAAAAGUUUCAUCUUUUAUCUCGAUGUGCAAUUUAACCCUAUACAUGUACAUACAUACCAUUUUUAAAUGGGUUUGUGACCUCAUAUCUAUGUGUUAAAGGAACAUGUUGCCGUGGAUCUGUCGAAUUGGUCCAUGAAAAGCGUUUGUUUUGAAAUCGAUAUGGU
Molecule: RNA transcript, 2455 nt
Organism: Asterias rubens (European starfish)
Lineage: Eukaryota; Metazoa; Echinodermata; Asteroidea; Forcipulatida; Asteriidae
Exons: 6
Source: RefSeq, a predicted model, not a curated record